RNAcentral lists this ribosomal RNA (468 nucleotides) under uncultured bacterium. RNAcentral describes it as "partial 16S ribosomal RNA". It matches the Rfam family "Bacterial small subunit ribosomal RNA", at positions 28 to 507 of the family's 1533-position model. The record is from RNAcentral.
GACGAACGCUGGCGGCGCGCCUAACACAUGCAAGUCGAACGGAGUCAAGAGGAGCUUGCUUUUCUUGACUUAGUGGCGAACGGGUGAGUAACGCGUGAGUAACCUGCCCUGGAGUGGGGGACAACAGUUGGAAACGACUGCUAAUACCGCAUAAGCCCACGCAUCCGCAUGGAUCUGCGGGAAAAGGAUUUAUUCGCUUCAGGAUGGACUCGCGUCCAAUUAGCUAGUUGGUGAGGUAACGGCCCACCAAGGCGACGAUUGGUAGCCGGACUGAGAGGUUGAACGGCCACAUUGGGACUGAGACACGGCCCAGACUCCUACGGGAGGCAGCAGUGGGGGAUAUUGCACAAGGGGGGAAACCCUGAUGCAGCGACGCCGCGUGGAGGAAGAAGGUUUUCGGAUUGUAAACUCCUGUCGUUAGGGACGAUAAUGACGGUACCUAACAAGAAAGCACCGGCUAACUACGUG